RNAcentral lists this ribosomal RNA (1515 nucleotides) under Triticum aestivum (bread wheat). RNAcentral's name for it is "partial small subunit ribosomal RNA". Lineage: Eukaryota; Viridiplantae; Streptophyta; Magnoliopsida; Poales; Poaceae. The record is from RNAcentral.
AUGGCAUUCUCGUUCCUGCCAGAACUAGUCAUCUCCAUAGUUGUGGUACAUGUAGUUAUUGUAGGUUUCUACUACAUAAAGUCUAGUAAGAACCCAUUGUUGCCCGUGAGCUGGCCAGUAGUAGGCAUCCUCCCUUCCCUGGUCGUCAACCUACACAGAUUGCAUCACUACAUCUCCUUUGACCUCCUAACACCAUCUGGUCACAGCCUAAAGGUUGCCAUAGCCAGCAUACGGAUGUUCAUAACCUGCGACCCAACAAAUAUCCAAUACAUCUUUAGCUCGAACCACACAAACUAUCCCAAGGGCGAGGAUUAUGCCGAAAUCUUUGACAUGACGAGAGGCUCUCUCUUCAGCGCAGAUGGUGAGUCAUCCCGACGGGAGCGUGCCAACUUCCAGAGUGUGUUGAGCAACCCGUUGUUGGUUGGGUUGAUGACUAAGUGUUGUCACGACAAGGUGGAGAAGAGCCUCCUACCCUUCAUGGCCCACAUGGUGAGAACCAAUACUCAUGUUGACAUGAAUGAUAUGUUGAUGAGGCUUGUGUUCGACCUGUAUGCCACAACCAUCUUCAGCAUGGACCCCACUUGUCUGUCCCUCGACAUGCCGUCGGUACACGUCGCGAACGCGAUGGACACGGUCAUGGAGGUGGGCUUUGUCCGUCACAUUGUGCCGGCAUUUUUUUGGAAGGUGAUGAGGCGCCUGAACAUCGGUCCGGAGAGGAAGGUCGCCGCCGCGCAAGCGGUUCUUCGCUGCUUCAUCAUGGACAUGAUCACGGAGAGGAGGAAGAAGGGCCAUAUUAUUGGUCAAGAAGUACACAUUGAUGUUUUGUCUAACUAUGUCAAUGACCAGAACUACAAUGAUGAUUUACUACAGGCGACACUCAUUACGUAUAUGAUCGCUGGGAGGGACACGAUUGGCACUACCUUGCCAUGGGUUGUCUACAACCUCACCAAGAACCCGCACAUCGUGUCAAGCAUUCGCACCGAACUAGCACCCAUCAUGUCCCGCAAAGCAGCCAUUGCUGGCGCUGUCACGAUGAUGACAUUUGAGCCAGAAGAGGUUAGACCCCUAGUCUACCUGCAAGCCACCUUGUUGGAGACACUCAGGUUGUACCCGCCGAUCCCUAUCGAGCGCAGGUCAGUGGUAUCCACUGAUGUGAUGCCGAGUGGCCAUCCUGUUUGUGCCCAGGACAUCAUCCUCGUCUCUAUCUACUCCGUCGGUAGAAUGGAGUCUGUUUGGGGGUCCGACUGUCUGGAGUAUAGGCCUGAGAGGUGGCUCUCUGAUGAUGGCCGUCAACUGCGAUAUGUACCCUCGAACAAGUUCCCAGCAUUUAACUCAGGGGCAAGGUUGUGCCUUGGCAAGGACAUUGCAAUCAUGCAGAUGAAGAUCAUCAUCGCUGCUAUCGUGUGUAACUUUGAUGUGAAAAUGGUUGAUGGACAAGCCAUCGACACGAAGUUGUCAUGUCUUCUACAAAUGAAGAAUGGGCUUAAGGUGAACCUGAGUAAAGUACAAAUGUAA